Molecule: ribosomal RNA, 330 nt
Filed under: uncultured eukaryote
Lineage: Eukaryota
Description: partial 18S ribosomal RNA
Rfam family: Eukaryotic small subunit ribosomal RNA
Source: RNAcentral
CCCUUAGAUGUUCGGGGCCGCACGCGCGCUACACUGAAGGAAUCAGCACGUCUUUCUCCUUGUCCGAAAGGACUGGGUAACCCGCUGAACCUCCUUCGUGCUAGGGAUUGGGGCUUGUAAUUCCUCCCCAUGAACGAGGAAUUCCCAGUAAGCGCGAGUCAUAAGCUCGCGUUGAUUACGUCCCUGCCCUUUGUACACACCGCCCGUCGCUACUACCGAUUGGAUGGUUUAGUGAGAUCCUCGGAUUGGUCCCGGCGCGGCCUCUGGUCGUGCCGGAGUGCCGAAAAGAAUGUCGAACUUGAUCAUCUAGAGGAAGUAAAAGUCGUAACA